This 70-nucleotide ribosomal RNA is filed under the name Phyllactinia taurica. RNAcentral's name for it is "Leveillula taurica partial 28S ribosomal RNA". It matches the Rfam family "Eukaryotic large subunit ribosomal RNA", at positions 1 to 69 of the family's 3401-position model. The record is from RNAcentral. Lineage: Eukaryota; Fungi; Ascomycota; Leotiomycetes; Helotiales; Erysiphaceae.
UUGACCUCGAAUCAGGUAGGGAUACCCGCUGAACUUAAGCAUAUCAAUAAGCGGAGGAAAAGAAACCACC